Molecule: ribosomal RNA, 347 nt
Filed under: uncultured bacterium
Lineage: Bacteria
Description: bacterial SSU rRNA
Rfam family: Bacterial small subunit ribosomal RNA
Source: RNAcentral
GAUGAACGCUAGCGGCAGGCCUAAUACAUGCAAGUCGAACGGUAGAUCGGGUAGCAAUGCUUGAUUGAGAGUGACGUAAGGGUGCGUAACACGUAUGCAAUCUACCCUCAACAGGAGUAUAGCUCGGGGAAACUCGGAUUAACACUCCAUAACAUUACGAUGUGGCAUCACAUUGUGAUUAAAACUCCGGUGGUUGAGGAUGAGCAUGCGUCUGAUUAGUUAGUUGGAGGUGUAACCGGACCCCAAGACGAUGAUCAGGUAGGGGAACUGAGAGGUUGACUCCCCACACUGGCACUGAGAUACGGGCCAGACUCCUACGGGAGGCAGCAGUAGGGAAUAUUGGACAA